Podarcis lilfordi (Lilford's wall lizard) is the source of this 77-nucleotide non-coding RNA. The record is from the annotation of a GenBank genome assembly. NCBI's taxonomy places the organism in Eukaryota, Metazoa, Chordata, Lepidosauria, Squamata, Lacertidae.
UGCCCCUUAUCUCAGUCUUGGUAGAGCAUCUGCCUUGCAUACAGAAUAUUCCAGGUUCAAUCUCCAGGUAGGGAUAG